Lactuca sativa (garden lettuce) is the source of this 2613-nucleotide long non-coding RNA. RefSeq lists it as uncharacterized. NCBI's taxonomy places the organism in Eukaryota, Viridiplantae, Streptophyta, Magnoliopsida, Asterales, Asteraceae. The record is from RefSeq and is a predicted model, not a curated record.
CCACCGCCUAUCCCAGCCUGAUCCCUCUUUAUAUAUUUUCAAUUGUUGACUGAUACAUGUCUCGCAUUUAAUUUGUUUCUUCUGGACACCGCUAUUAUCUUCCAUUCAGUUUCUUACACAUAGCGCUAUGUUUCCCACCGCCUUUCUCUCAUCUAUACCUCAUCCUAUCCAUUAUACCUCCUCCUAUCCAUUGCCGACUCCUUCUUCGCUGUCUUCUACUCGACGUGUUCUCUUUAGAAAUUGAUUCACCAAAUCUCGUGCUUGCUUUCAUUCACCAAACUCCAUCUCAGAUAUCAUUACUAAAAACGUGAAAUCACUUCCAACCCUAGAAACUCCACCCGGUUAUGAAGUAAUCGGUUCUAGGGUGUUAUUCGAUUCGUCCUUUUUACAUCUUCCCUAAAAGGGUUCCACCUCUAUACCACUGCCGGUUUCAAUUGAUAUCGUCUGCCUCGCCGAACACAACUCCUAGCUAUUCAAUAUAUACUGUUUUAGAUGGCGUCUUGAUCGAGAACUUUGUCCCUGCUCUCACCGAUAAACCUUCCUGAUCCUUCCAUCAUCACUAACCAUCCCACCCCCAUUGAUGUAAGGUGCUUUAUCCACUAAUCUUUCUUUCACUUUCUUCUUUGAUUAUUUUUCGUCUUCCUCCUCUAUAUGAACCCACACACCGGCGAAAUUGUUCCAGUUAUAUAAUUGACAUAAUCAUUAAAAUCUGGAAGGCAGGAGAUUGGUUUGGAAGAAAUACUCAGUUAUCUGAGAAGCUUCGUGUUGGAUUUCAGAAUGAGGACCUAGAAAAUGUAGACUAGCCAUUGACUUUUCUAAAAGUCUAAUGUGAAGUACUUAUGCGUUCUCACCUCUUUACUAAAACAGCAAGCUGGCAGUCACUAAUUAGUAAAUUAUAAGUAAAGAACUUUAUUUUAUCAUUGGUUGCAUAUGAUGUUAGCCUCUCUGAUGAUGGCUGGUCUCCUGGGAUAUUCGGCAUUAUCUCAAGGAACACUUCAACCUCUUGGGAAAAGCUUGAUGUUGGUUCUCCUCUAUGACACUCAUUUGAGAUAGAAUCCAGAACAAAUUCUGCCUUUUACAGCACACCUACUAUUAUUACAUUCUGUGUCCCCACAAAGGCUCCACUACAGGAGGCGUAUUCAAUCCCACUUCUGCCCCUUGAAAUCCUAUCAGAUAAGUCACGCAAAAUUACACUUUGUCUUCUGUUACAACUAUCUUCGUGUAUGUUCAACCAGUAUUGAUUUUGCAUUUGCAAAUCCCUUACUUAAUAUUCACUUGAAGUGUUUCUCUUUCCCCUCUACAUCAAUAUCAAAUGUGUUUUCGUAUCUCCAUUUUCUCUGUUUUUUUCCUAUGUAUGGAUUUGAUUUUUUUUUCUGAUUGGGGCUUGCUGAACAAACAACAAAAUGCUUAUGAUAUAUAUGAGUUUUUCCGUAUAUAUAGCAACAACAACGAUCCUUACCGUAAAAGAAGGUAACAAACUAAAUGCAUCUCCUCUCUUGAAUCUUUUUUUUUUUUCGUUUUGAACCAAGGCAUCUUUCACUUACAUGGUUGUAAGUUGGCUUACCAAAUGGUAAGGUAUUUUUUUUUUCAAAAAAGUAUGAUGUAAAGAAAUGGUGGUUAUAGGGAUAUUGGUCAUCUCCUAUGAUGUACGCCAUGAAUGAAAUUGUUGUGAAUUAGUUUCUUGGGAAUCAACGGAAAUGAGUAAGUCAAGCAAUGUCUAAUGUGUGAUGAGGUUUAUUUUUAUAAUUGUUUUUUGUGUUAUAGCCAUUGAAUGCUGCCACAUUCAUCUUUGACUUUUUUAGUUUUUGAUUUUAAGAUUAUUAUUUAAAAUGAUUCUUUUGUAACAUUUAAAAUGCCACUGACCAAAAACAUUUGAAACAAGCAUUGAAGCAACCCAAAAGGAGAUUCAAAGUCCGACUGAUGUGGAGGUUGAACUCAAGCGGAGACUCGGCCAGCUCGCCGACCAUUUGAUUCCGAAACAAGCACAGAUCGGUGCAAAGUGCUUUUAGUUGUUGUUUUUUUAUUAAAAAAUGACCAGUGGUUUACCACAGGAUCACCCAUUAAAAAUGUUAAAUGCUGAAUAAAAUGAUGUUCACGUUACUAUUUGAAUCGUUAUGAUGAAAUUGUUAGUUGUAUUUAUUUAUUUAUUUACAGGAAUAACUAUCUUUUCAACUAUUUUCACUUUCUUUUUUUCAUCACCCAUUCUCAGUUGUGUACAUAUGUAGGAUCUCGAUCUUACAAAACCAGGCAUUAAUAUGCCAUCAACAAGAUUAGAUUUUGAAGUACCAACACAAGAAGUUCUAAAAAAAGAUGACUUCCGGAAUGUGAGGUUUCUUGCUUACUUUAUAACCAAGGCUGGAGUGGGUGGUCAAUUGGUACCCACAAUAGGAAUUCUAUUAUCCACACGACCACCCACUUAUGGAAGGCGGUGCCAUUAAAAUUGCUAAUAUGAAUUACGGUGGAAAAGUGAUAUCGUCACGGAUUAAUUAAAGAAUAUGUAAAGUCAAGAUAUAGCAAUAUACUUUUUCUGUUAACUCUGUUGAAAUUUACUGUGUGUUGUAUACUAUUUUGGAGAACUCCACAUAGCAAUAUACUUUUUCUAUCAAUAACGAA